Molecule: non-coding RNA, 303 nt
Organism: Vicia faba (fava bean)
Lineage: Eukaryota; Viridiplantae; Streptophyta; Magnoliopsida; Fabales; Fabaceae
Source: the annotation of a GenBank genome assembly
AUGGGGAUUGCCAAUUUUCUCCAUCGUUCUGUUUUUCUUUCUCCGGUGUGGCUCUUGGUUGAAUGUUCUCCAUUGAUGGAACCUUUGGGUGUGCCAUCUUCUGAAUGCUUGGACAAAUUUUCCACCCUGGCUUCUAGACGUGCAAAGCGUGUUUCGAAUUGUUGUCGUUCUACCUCUCGGUUUUGUCGGUCCGCCAUCAACAUUUCUAAAAUUCUCUCCAUUGUGUCUGGGUUUUCGGGAUUAGAUCGAGUUGUCACCAUUGUUGGAAGCAAAGCACCUGGACGGUGCUCUGAUACCAAUUGA